Molecule: ribosomal RNA, 187 nt
Filed under: Paenibacillus prosopidis
Lineage: Bacteria; Bacillati; Bacillota; Bacilli; Caryophanales; Paenibacillaceae
Description: partial 16S ribosomal RNA
Rfam family: Bacterial small subunit ribosomal RNA
Source: RNAcentral
CCAAUUUGGAGAGUUUGAUCCUGGCUCAGGACGAACGCUGGCGGCGUGCCUAAUACAUGCAAGUCGAGCGGAUCUUAUCCUUCGGGAUAAGAUUAGCGGCGGACGGGUGAGUAACACGUAGGUAACCUGCCCGUAAGACUGGGAUAACAUUCGGAAACGAAUGCUAAUACCGGAUACACAGCUUGGU